GACGAACGCUGGCGGCGUGCUUAACACAUGCCAGUCGAACGGUAAGGCCCCUUCGGGGGUCCACGAGUGGCGCACGGGUGAGUAACACGUGGGCAACCUGCCCUUGACUCUGUAAUAACAGUUGGAAACAGCUGCUAAUACUGAUAUUCAUCGUCUCCUUCCUGGGGGGUGGUGGAAAGCUCCGGCGGUCAGGGAUGGGCUCGCGGCCUAUCAGCUUGUUGGUGAGGUAAUGGCUCACCAAGGCUUCGACGGGUAGCCGGCCUGAGAGGGCGACCGGCCACACUGGGACUGAGAUACGGCCCAGACUCCUACGGGAGGCAGCAGUGGGGAAUAUUGCACAAUGGGCGCAAGCCUGAUGCAGCAACGCCGCGUGCGGGAUGACGGCCUUCGGGUUGUAAACCGCUUUCAGUAGGGACGAAGGGUGACUGACGGUACCUACAGAAGAAGGACCGGCUAACUACGUG
Molecule: ribosomal RNA, 464 nt
Filed under: uncultured bacterium
Lineage: Bacteria
Description: partial 16S ribosomal RNA
Rfam family: Bacterial small subunit ribosomal RNA
Source: RNAcentral